CUUUGCUCCGCCGGCGACCGGCGCACGGGUGAGUAGCGCGUAUGCAACCUGCCCGUUUCAGCGGGAUAACCCGGAGAAAUCCGGCCUAAUACCGCAUGUGGCCGAGGGGAGGCAUCUUCUUUCGGCCAAAGGAGGCGACUCAGGAGACGGAUGGGCAUGCGUGACAUUAGCUUGUUGGCGGGGUAACGGCCCACCAAGGCGACGAUGUCUAGGGGUUCUGAGAGGAAGGUCCCCCACACUGGUACUGAGACACGGACCAGACUCCUACGGGAGGCAGCAGUGAGGAAUAUUGGUCAAUGGGCGAGAGCCUGAACCAGCCAAGUCGCGUGAAGGAUGACGGCCCUACGGGUUGUAAACUUCUUUUGUCAGGGAGCAAUUGAGUCCACGUGUGGGCUUAGCGAGAGUACCUGAAGAAAAAGCAUCGGCUAACUCCGUGCCAGCAGCCGCGGUAAUACGGAGGAUGCGAGCGUUAUCCGGAUUUAUUGGGUUUAAAGGGUGCGUAGGCGGAAUAUCAAGUCAGCGGUAAAAAUUCGGGGCUCAACCCCGUCGUGCCGUUGAAACUGAUGUUCUUGAGUGGGCGAGAAGUAUGCGGAAUGCGUGGUGUAGCGGUGAAAUGCAUAGAUAUCACGCAGAACUCCGAUUGCGAAGGCAGCAUACCGGCGCCCAACUGACGCUGAAGCACGAAAGCGUGGGUAUCGAACAGGAUUAGAUACCCUGGUAGUCCACGCAGUAAACGAUGAAUGCUAAUUGUCCGGAGGGAUUGACCUCUGGGUGAUACAGCGAAAGCGUU
Molecule: ribosomal RNA, 790 nt
Filed under: uncultured bacterium
Lineage: Bacteria
Description: bacterial SSU rRNA
Rfam family: Bacterial small subunit ribosomal RNA
Source: RNAcentral